Oreochromis niloticus (Nile tilapia) is the source of this 7785-nucleotide RNA transcript. RefSeq lists it as uncharacterized. The transcript is spliced from 2 exons. NCBI's taxonomy places the organism in Eukaryota, Metazoa, Chordata, Actinopteri, Cichliformes, Cichlidae. The record is from RefSeq and is a predicted model, not a curated record.
CUGAUUUAUAAUAAGUUACAUAGUUUCAUGAAUAUAUAUAUAUAGUUUGUGUUAAAAUGUCUUUAUUUGAAAUGUACAUGUGUAAGGUGUAAAAGCUAGUGUCUCGUGAGACUACCCCUUAACGAGAGUGCACGAGACUUUUCAUGGACUGCGAGGGAGCAGAUGUCUCUCAUGAAGCGAUUUUAAGCUAAAGGUUUACUAAAAGGAAAGGUAACACAAAGACUUAAGGACCUCUUUUCAGGACAAGCAGCCAACGAGGUAUUUGUCAUUUGAGAAAUGUUUUAUUUGUGUUUUGACUUAAUAUGUGUACUGUUGUAAAGUUGCUAAUUGGUUUGUACUGUUUACUCGUGACCAGUUCUCACGGCGUAAAGGCGUAAUGGCGUAUCGGCGUACUGGUGAUGGUGAAGCUGAGGAGAGAAAGCUCAAGUAAUAAACGCCCGUUUCAAAGAACCGACCUGUGUCUGUGUUGUCGUGAAGAGAGCUACAGUGAGAACUCGCCUGCUCAACACGGGUAGGAGAGGACAGGAUCGCCGCGGAUGACGAAACGACGCGGAUCCGGUGCAUCACGUCAGAUAAGCAGAGUGCAUAACGCAUAUCGGCACAGCGUUAACAAGCAACGGUGGUUAGACUGAGUUAAAGCGCUAAUUUUCACGUCUAAAAUCAGGAGAAGCUCUACCACAAAAGUGAAGUUAAGGUGGUGUGAGAAGUGGUUAAAUGUGGAAAUUGCAACUAAGGGACUCAUCUGUUAUUCUUGCUUGCUUAAUGUAGAGAUUAAUCCAAUGUGUUUGCAUUUAUAGUUGUUGUACAUCACAAGGUUUAAAGAACAAACAAGUAAAUAUUUAACAAGCUCACAGGUUAUGAGUAAUUUUGAGUUUUACAAAAUUUGCUGAGUUUUAAAGGGCACCUUCUGUGAAUUUUAAAGGGGUACUAUACUAAUGUGAAAAAUUGAAAACCUUUAGUAAUGUAAAUAAGGAUUUAAGGUAUUUCUAAGUAUAUUUACACUGUUACUGAGGGUUUACUCAUAUAUUUGUGAUAAGGUAAUUUUGUUCUUGUCUGUUUGAAACUUAAGUUCAGUAUUGAAGUCAACAGCGUGUUGGAAGACUCAUACAUACAUUUAUGAACCUUACUGGCUAUUCAAAUUAAGUCUAUUGUAACUUUCACUUACACAUAGUCCAGAAGAAAUCUAGUUGAAGUUUAAUAGCUGCACAAUCACACUGCUAUAAUCUCAACAUGUCUGACAUAAGCAGAGAGACCUGCCAUAAGGAUGCCGAGCAAUCCGCUCAAGCUGAAGCUACUGGCACUGAAUCUGCAGCAGAACUAGAGGGGCUUCGAAGAAGUGAGAGGGCGCGUACCCUAACAGAAAGGGGGAGAGCAUACCAAGAUGAGAGACUGAAGCAAAUUCAACGCAAAUACAAAAUCAUCUAUGAGAAGUGGAGGUGUCAUGCACGAAUAGGCAAAGAGUUAUUAAGUGGUGAUUCUUCUAAGGAUGAGUUAACUGAUCUUAUUGAGAACAUCAAAAGCACCUGUUCUGAUGUAAAGGUAGUUUAUGAGGAGCUGCGUCAAGUGCAAACCCCUGAACCAGACCUGCGGCGCAGGGUUGAUACAUGCAUGUCAUUCUCAGAAUUUAUUAUUCAAAGAGCACAGAGACAGCUUAAAGGCCAUGAAGCAGAUAAAGAUGAAGAGUCUUGGCCUGAUGUUGGAUCUGUUCUAGGCUCAACAGGUUCUGUUUCUAGACCACUGUCUCGUCAAUCAGGAUGUAGUUCUACCCACUCUAGCAGCCACUCUGUCAAAAGAAUAGAGGCUGUAGCUGAAGCUGCUGCAACUCAGGAAGUCUUGGCAGUGUUGGAGGAGCAAGAAAGGGAAGAAACAGAACUUCAAAUGUUAGAGGCUGAGAACUUAGCCAGACAGCAAGCAAUCCAAGAUAAACGUAGAAAACUUGCACGCCUAGAAGAAGUAAAGAAGCUGAAUGCUGCUAGAGCUCGAGUGAGGGUCUAUGAUGAAGCUGAAGAAAACAUAGAAGCAACUGAUUUGUUGUAUGGUAGUGAAGUACUGCCAGAGCUUAGAGUCACUGACUCCACAGCACUUCCAGUCACAACCCAUUCUCUCAAUGCAUCAAGCCCCCCAUUCAUUCCUCAAUCCCUAGCAGUCACAAGUCAAGCUCCUUGUCCACAACAGCUACCUCAGUCUCCUCCAGCCUCAGUGUUGAGGCCUCAAGAACAGAAUAGCUUAGAUCUGGUCAAUGUGCUAGUAGAAGCUAUGAGUGCAAAUCGGCUCCCAACACCAGAGCCUGCGGUGUUUACAGGAGAUCCCUUGAAGUUCAAAGACUGGCAAUUGUCCUUUGAAACAUUAAUAGAAAGGAAGAACAUCCCAAAGAAUGAAAAACUGUAUUACCUAAGAAAGUACUUAGGUGGCACAGCAAAGAAGGCCGUGGAAGGAUUUCUUCUACUGGGCACAGAAGCAGCAUAUGAGUCAGCCUGGAAGCUUUUAGAGAAACGUUUUGGAGACCCAUUCCUAAUUGGGAAGUCACUCAGAGACAAGCUGCAUGCAUGGCCAAAGAUAGGUUCUAAGGAUGCUUGCGAGCUAAGAGAAUUUGCAGACUUUCUCAAGAGCUGCGAGGCUGCCAUGUCUCAUGUCAAGAUGCUGGAGGUCUUGAAUGACUGCGUUGAGAGUCAGAGGAUUCUGCUGAAAUUGCCAGAUUGGUUGGUUUCCAGCUGGAAUCGCAAAGUGAUGGAAGUCAGACAAGUGAAAGCUGAGUACCCACCAUUCAAGGUGUUUGUUGACUUCCUAUCAAAGGAAGCAGAUCUUGCUUGCGAUCCAAUUUCUUCAAUACAAGCACUUAAGAGUGUUGAAAGUGAGAAACCAAGGCAUCCACGAAGCCAAAUACUUCAAGCAAAGACUCUGACCACAAGUACAACACAGAGCAGUAUUACAUCAUGUGUUUUCUGCAAAAGGACAGGACACAUCCUAGACAAAUGCCGAAGUUUCACAGAAAAGACAGUUCAGGAUCGUGUUAAGUUUGUACACACAGAGAAGCUUUGCUUUGGAUGUUUGAAGACCGGUCAUCACUCAAGAAAAUGUGAUAACAAAAGCACGUGUGAGAAAUGCCAAAAGAGACACCCGACAUGUUUGCAUGACGAUAAGUUCAAGGAACGUCAAAGGCCAGUCCACCUAAAUGGAGGUGAAAUUUCAAAGGACAAGGCAGACACCACAGAAAGGACUGCAACAGCCACUUCCAACAGAGUUAUCCAAGAGGGUCUAAGCACACAAACAUCUUCUAUCUUGCCAGUCUGGGUGUCAUCUAUUAAGCAGCCAGAUCAAGAACUGCUAGUUUAUGCACUCUUAGACACACAGAGCGAUACCACCUUCAUACUAGAUGAAGUAGCUCAAGGCCUGAACACAAACAAAGAGAAUGUCAGUCUGCGACUGUCCACAAUGUCUGCCAAGUCGACAGUUAUUCCAUGUCAGAAACUGACAGGUCUACAAGUGAGAGGAUACAACUCAGAGAAAAGGAUCCCACUACCACCUGUUUUCACAAGAGAGUUUAUCCCAGUAAACAGGCUGCACAUUCCAACCUCUGAAACAGCUCUAAAAUGGCCACAUCUAGAGCAACUGUCAGAAACGAUUCCACCACAGUUGGAUUGCGAAGUAGGCCUUCUUAUAGGCUACAACUGUCAACGGGCCCUCCUCCCAAGAGAGAUCCUGUCUGGUGACGAAAAUCAUCCAUAUGCACAGCGGACUGAUCUGGGCUGGAGCAUUGUUGGUUGCUCACAUUCAACAAGCGAUGACAGCGAUCCAAUAGGAUUCAGUCAUAGAAUCAUAGUACGACAAGUGACACCGACUGUGCAUCCAUCAGUUCAGCUAAAGAAGGAAGUGCACUUUGCGUGCAGGACUCAAGUCAAAGAGAUCAACCCACUUGACAUAAUUAAGACUCUUGAAUCAGAUUUCACAGAUCACUCAGCAGAUGAUAAUCCAGUUUCUCAGGAGGACCUCCUCUUUCUGUCUAAAGUAAAAGCUGGAAUAAGACAGAAGGAAGAUGGCCACUAUGAACUUCCGCUUCCUUUCAAGACAGACAAACCUAAUCUUCCAGACAAUAAACAGUGUGCAGUUCACAGGCUCAGCUCAUUAGAGCGUCGACUGAGGAGAAAUGAACAAUAUUACAUGGACUAUGUCAACUUCAUGAAUGAAAUCAUAAGUAGAAGAGAUGCUGAGAAGGUGCCACAGUCUGAAUUAGACAACCAGCCAGCAUGGUACAUACCACACCACGGUGUCUACCAUCCCCACAAGCCCGGGAAGAUCCGUGUGGUUUUCGAUUGUUCGGCACGCUACCAAGAAACCUCUCUAAAUGACCAUCUCUUGACAGGUCCAGACCUGACUAACACAUUAGUUGGUGUGUUGUGUCAAUUUAGAAAGGGUCCGAUAGCCAUAAUGUGUGACAUCGAAAAAAUGUUUCACCAGUUCCACGUUGCAAGGGAACAUCAAGAUUAUCUCAGGUUCCUCUGGUGGGAUGGAGGUGAUUUGGAUUCUGAACCCUCGGUGUACAGGAUGAAGGUACACCUCUUUGGGGCAGCUUCAUCCCCCGGUUGCUCCAACUUUGGACUGAAAUACCUAGCUUCACAAGGCCAAGGCAAGUUCAGCAAAGAAGCCAUCAAGUUCAUCCAAAGAAGCUUCUAUGUGGAUGAUGGCCUGACAAGUGUAAGGUCGACUGCUGAAGCCAUACGCCUGGUAAAGGAAUCAAGAGCUCUGUGCAAAACAGGAAAUCUACGGCUACAUAAGUUUGUAUCCAACGAUGAGGGUGUGAUUGCAACAAUUCCACCACAAGAAUGUGCUCAGACCAAAGAUCUAAACAUGGCUCUAGGAGAACUUCAUAUCGAGCGAGCACUUGGAGUUCAGUGGUGUGUUGAGGCGGAUGAAUUUCAGUUCAGGGUGGUGGUAAAAGAAAACCCACUGACAAGGAGAGGGGUUCUCUCAACUGUUGCCUCAGUCUAUGAUCCACUAGGUUUCGUGGCUCCAUUCCUACUUGUCGGCAAACAGAUUCUUCAAACGCUGUGUAGAGACAAGGUAAGCUGGGACGAACCUCUCCCCGAGCACAUCCAGCCACAAUGGGAGUCAUGGCUCAAAGAUCUGCCUCAUUUGGCAGCUCUAAGGAUUCCAAGAAGCUACCUUCCAUCAAACUUUGGUGAAGUCUCACUAUAUGAGCUUCACAACUUUUCUGAUGCAAGCUUCAAAGGGUAUGGUGCAUGCUCAUACCUUAGAGCGGUGAGUGAAACAGGACAAAUAAGUUGUUCACUUGUCUUGGGGAAAGCAAGAGUAGCCCCUACCAAACUAACAACCAUCCCAAGGCUUGAGUUAUCAUCAGCUGUGACCUCAGUCCGCAUUGGUGAUAUCAUCAGAGGCGAGCUGGAGAUUGAAAAUGUGCAAGAGUAUUACUGGACUGACUCAAAGGUGGUCCUUGGCUAUGUGAACAAUGAUGCUAAAAGGUUCCAAACAUUCGUGGCCAACCGCAUCCAGCGAAUAAGAUCUAGCACAAAACCUGAACAAUGGCGAUAUGUCAACUCUGAAGACAACCCAGCUGAUGGAGCCUCAAGAGGAUUGACUGCAGUUCAAAUUAAAGAAUCUAACUGGCUGAAAGGACCCAACUUCCUUUGGCAGCAAAAUCUCCCACAUGAAGUGGGAAUGGUGGGAGAAGUUGAGGCUACUGAUCCUGAACUUCGGAGAGUACAUGUUCAUGCAGUUAAAGCAAGAGAACAGAAUCCAAUGGUAAACCGUUUAACUAAAUUUUCUGACUGGUCCAGAGUGGUGAGAGCAAUUGCCAGGCUCAAGAGAUUUGUCAGAGAGUUUAAGGGAUUUCAGUCGAGAACUAAUGAGUCGACUAAUCUUGAAGAACGAAGAGAAGCAGAGAUCUUCAUCAUCAAACUCGUACAAGAAGACGCGUUUGCUGAAGACAUAAAGAAAAUAAGAGGCAAGAAGGAACACACUUUGAGCAGGCACAACAGGCUACGCCAGCUGAAUGCUUUCCUGGACGAAACCAAUGUUCUCAGGGUGGGAGGACGGCUGUCUCAGUCAGCCUUACACCAUGAUGUAAAGCAUCCUGCGAUACUUCCAAAAAAAUCUCACGCGUCAGCUCUGCUGGUCAAACAUCAUCAUGAGCGCAUACACCAUCAAGGAAGGGGCAUGACCAUGAAUGAGUUGCGCGCAAACGGAAUAUGGGUCCUAGGAUGUGGAAGUGUGGUCUCCUCACACAUUUACAAGUGUGUAAAAUGUAGACGAUACAGAAGAACAACUGAGGUUCAACAAAUGGCAAAUCUACCAGAAGAGAGAAUUGAGACAUCUCCCCCCUUUACUUAUUGUGGGCUUGAUUGUUUUGGCCCCUUUAUUGUGAAGGAAGGAAGGAGAGAGUUGAAACGAUACGGAUUGUUAUUCACCUGCCUAUGUUCUAGAGCAGUUCACAUAGAAACCCUUGACGAUUUGACAACAGACGCAUUCAUAAAUGCACUUCGAUCAUUCAUAGCUAUUCGAGGACCCGUGCGCCAGCUAAGAUGUGAUAGAGGGACAAACUUUGUUGGUGCUAGAAAGGAGCUUUCUGAGUUGCUUGAAGGAAUGGAUCAAGACCGUACAAGGGCGCUUGGUUGUGAAUUUGUGCUGAAUGUCCCGUCAGCUAGUCAUAUGGGAGGAGUUUGGGAGCGCCAGAUUCGAACAAUCCGAAGCAUCCUGAUAACUAUGCUUGACAAGUCUGCCAGCAGACUUGACACCACAACUCUAAGAACGUUUCUGUAUGAAACAAUGGCCAUAAUCAACAGCAGGCCACUAAGUGUCGAGCAUCUUCACGAUCCUACUGGUCCUGAACCCCUCACUCCUAACCACAUUCUAACCAUGAAGUCAUCUGUAAUUCUGCCACCUCCUGGACAAUUCUGCAAAGAAGACCUCUAUCUGCACAAAAGGUGGAGAAGAGUGCAGUUUUUGGCCAAUGAAUUUUGGCAACGAUGGAAACGAGAAUACCUGCUAAACCUCCAACAACGGCAGAAAUGGCAGAAGACGUCACGAAACUUGCAAGCAGAUGACAUUGUAAUAUUAAAGGAUGACAGUGCACCAAGAAACCGGUGGAAGCUUGCAAGGGUUGUGGAAGCCCUGCCCAGCACAGAUGGCAAGGUGCGAAAGCUAAAGCUUCUGCUCAGUGACACUACCUUUGAUAAGGGAAAACCAAUCACUAAAUCAGUUUACCUUGAGAGGCCUGUUCACAAAGUAGUUACAUUACUUGAGGCCACCUAAAACACACGUAAAGCUAAAUGACCUACACUUAAAUGUUCACUCACACAUCACUUCCUUAUAAUUUUCAUUGAGGAAAAUCUCUCCUUUUAAGUCAAUGAGUGAUUUUGGUGGGAGUGUAAAUGCUGUUAAAACGCUCUGUGUAGAUUUCAUGAUGUAGAUGACUGAUUUAUAAUAAGUUACAUAGUUUCAUGAAUAUAUAUAUAUAGUUUGUGUUAAAAUGUCUUUAUUUGAAAUGUACAUGUGUAAGGUGUAAAAGCUAGUGUCUCGUGAGACUACCCCUUAACGAGAGUGCACGAGACUUUUCAUGGACUGCGAGGGAGCAGAUGUCUCUCAUGAAGCGAUUUUAAGCUAAAGGUUUACUAAAAGGAAAGGUAACACAAAGACUUAAGGACCUCUUUUCAGGACAAGCAGCCAACGAGUUCUCACGGCGUGAAGGCGUAAAGGCGUAAUGGCGUAUCGGCGUACUGGUGAUGGUGAAGCUGAGGAGAGAAAGCUCAAGUAAUAAACGCCCGUUUCAAA